AUUGAACGCUGGCGGCAUGCCUUACACAUGCAAGUCGAACGGCAGCACGGGAGCAAUCCUGGUGGCGAGUGGCGAACGGGUGAGUAAAGUAUCGGAACGUGCCCAGUCGUGGGGGAUAACGUAGCGAAAGUUACGCUAAUACCGCAUACGAUCUAUGGAUGAAAGCGGGGGAUCACAAGACCUCGCGCGAUUGGAGCGGCCGAUAUCAGAUUAGGUAGUUGGUGGGGUAAAGGCCCACCAAGCCGACGAUCUGUAGCUGGUCUGAGAGGACGACCAGCCACACUGGGACUGAGACACGGCCCAGACUCCUACGGGAGGCAGCAGUGGGGAAUUUUGGACAAUGGGCGAAAGCCUGAUCCAGCCAUGCCGCGUGCAGGAUGAAGGCCUUCGGGUUGUAAACUGCUUUUGUACGGAACGAAAAGGUUUGGGCUAAUAAGCUGAGCUCAUGACGGUACCAUAAGAAUAAGCACCGGCUAACUACGUGCCAGCCGCCGCCGUAA
RNAcentral lists this ribosomal RNA (500 nucleotides) under uncultured bacterium. RNAcentral's name for it is "partial 16S ribosomal RNA". It matches the Rfam family "Bacterial small subunit ribosomal RNA", at positions 30 to 523 of the family's 1533-position model. The record is from RNAcentral.